RNAcentral lists this ribosomal RNA (497 nucleotides) under uncultured bacterium. Its description in RNAcentral is "partial 16S ribosomal RNA". It matches the Rfam family "Bacterial small subunit ribosomal RNA", at positions 28 to 507 of the family's 1533-position model. The record is from RNAcentral.
GACGAACGCUGGCGGCGUGCCUAAUACAUGCAAGUUGAGCGCUGAAGGUUGGUACUUGUACCGACUGGAUGAGCAGCGAACGGGUGAGUAACGCGUGGGGAAUCUGCCUUUGAGCGGGGGACAACAUUUGGAAACGAAUGCUAAUACCGCAUAAAAACUUUAAACACAAGUUUUAAGUUUGAAAGAUGCAAUUGCAUCACUCAAAGAUGAUCCCGCGUUGUAUUAGCUAGUUGGUGAGGUAAAGGCUCACCAAGGCGAUGAUACAUAGCCGACCUGAGAGGGUGCUCGGCCACAUUGGGACUGAGACACGGCCCAAACUCCUACGGGAGGCAGCAGUAGGGAAUCUUCGGCAAUGGACGAAAGUCUGACCGAGCAACGCCGCGUGAGUGAAGAAGGUUUUCGGAUCGUAAAACUCUGUUGGUAGAGAAGAACGUUGGUGAGAGUGGAAAGCUCAUCAAGUGACGGUAACUACCCAGAAAGGGACGGCUAACUACGUG